CCCUUAGAUGUCCUGGGCUGCACGCGCGCUACACUGAUGUGUCCAGUAAGCACCUAACCUAUUCCGAGAGGGGCGGGUAACCUUAGCAAAGCACAUCGUGAUGGGGAUAGAUUAUUGCAAUUAUUAGUCUUGAACGAGGAAUUCCUAGUAAGCACAAGUCAUCAGCUUGUGUUGAUUACGUCCCUGCCCUUUGUACACACCGCCCGUCGCUCCUACCGAUUGAAUGUUCCGGUGAGCUCUUCGGACUGCGCGGUCUGCAGUUUCUGCGUUCCGUGCGGAAAGUUGCGCAAACCUUAACAUUUAGAGGAAGGAGAAGUCGUAACA
Molecule: ribosomal RNA, 324 nt
Filed under: uncultured eukaryote
Lineage: Eukaryota
Description: partial 18S ribosomal RNA
Rfam family: Eukaryotic small subunit ribosomal RNA
Source: RNAcentral